GAGCCGCUAGCUCAUUCGGUAGAGCAUCGCCCUUUUAAGGCGAGUGUGCUGGGAUCGAAACCCAGGCGGCUCACCA
RNAcentral lists this transfer RNA (76 nucleotides) under Leptospirillum sp. RNAcentral's name for it is "tRNA-Lys". It matches the Rfam family "tRNA". Rfam says of the family: Transfer RNA (tRNA) molecules are approximately 80 nucleotides in length. The record is from RNAcentral. Lineage: Bacteria; Pseudomonadati; Nitrospirota; Nitrospiria; Nitrospirales; Nitrospiraceae. RNAcentral also lists the same sequence under 3 other names.